AGCGACAGCAAGUAAAGCUGCGCAGCUGUGCAGUUGUGUAGAAACGCUGUUAACUGCAGUGUGAGGGGGAUGUUUGGAUUCCUGAGCUCCGUGCUCCAUCUCGUCCUGCCCCGGGCAAGUCCUCAGGUCAAAGCAGAGCACUGCUGGUCUUCAAAGAUUGGAUUCGGGCUUGACUAUGUACGGACCUAUGGAGCUGGCAGAAGUCUGCUGAAGGGCAGCUUCACCAAUCAGAACAGAGAGGACUGAUAAGGAGGGGGGCCUUAAAG
Molecule: long non-coding RNA, 266 nt
Organism: Thunnus maccoyii (southern bluefin tuna)
Lineage: Eukaryota; Metazoa; Chordata; Actinopteri; Scombriformes; Scombridae
Exons: 3
Source: RefSeq, a predicted model, not a curated record